CAAGUUAUAGCUUAUAUUAAAGCUUUUUAUUUACAUUAAUAUGAAAAUAAUUCUUAUUUAGCUUGA
This 66-nucleotide transfer RNA is filed under the name Macrosteles quadrimaculatus. Its description in RNAcentral is "tRNA-Val". Lineage: Eukaryota; Metazoa; Arthropoda; Insecta; Hemiptera; Cicadellidae. The record is from RNAcentral.